CCAGCAGCUGCGGUAAUUCCAGCUCCAAUAGCGUAUAUUAAAGUUGUUGCAGUUAAAAAGCUCGUAGUUGGAUUUCUGGCAGGAGUGACCGGCCAUGCACUCUGUGCGUGAGCUGUGUCAUUCUGGCCAUCCUUGGUGAGAUCCUGUUUGGCAUUAAGUUGUCGGGCAGGGGAUAACCAUCGUUUACUGUGAAAAAAUUAGAGUGUUUAAAGCAGGCUUAUGCCGUUGAAUAUAUUAGCAUGGAAUAAUAAGAUAGGACUUUGAGUCUAUUUUGUUGGUUUGCGAGUCAAAGUAAUGAUUAAUAGGGACAGUUGGGGGUAUUCGUAUUUCAUUGUCAGAGGUGAAAUUCUUGGAUUUCUGAAAGACGAACUACUGCGAAAGCAUUUACCAAGGAUGUUUUCAUUAAUCAAGAACGAAAGU
This 420-nucleotide ribosomal RNA is filed under the name uncultured eukaryote. Its description in RNAcentral is "SSU rRNA". It matches the Rfam family "Eukaryotic small subunit ribosomal RNA", at positions 567 to 990 of the family's 1831-position model. The record is from RNAcentral.